CUGGAGUUCCCCAAAGGCUUUGGAGAUCUAUUGGCAUGUACCAAUUAUUUUUAUUUGACUCCUAAGCCAAAAAGUCCAUUCCCAGCUCUGAGUCAGGAGGAUUUUAAGCACAGUGUUGACUUACGAGCUACUUCACCCCAUGAGCUGCUUUCAUUUGACAGAACAAUUGAUUAAAAAACCUACUUAGGCAUUUCCUUCUCUCCUUCUUUUUGGUAUUGAAAUCUCCCAGCACCAGCAAUUCCCUGGCAAACUAUAAGCACAUAUUUCUUCUCUGUUCAUUCCUGUGCAACUCAGUAGACUUCAGACAAACAGCAGCAAAACACAUCAGGGAUAAAAAAAAGGACAGAAUUUUAAAUGAAAAAAGAAAAUCAAUAGCCCAUUUUCACAGGAGUUGAAGGACUUGUCCUGUGGACCGUGUUAUCUGUGGAAAGGAUCCCAGCACAGUAAAUAGAAAGUCCUGCAGCAGAGAGGUAACUCUCUCUUUUAAACCAGUUCCUAUAGUGCUGUGCUUAGCUCAAAUCUUUGUGUUUACAGCCAAAUGUACGUAUGUAUGUGUGUGUUUAUUCUGGAAAUGUCGUAUUUCCUUUGUUUGUUUGUUUGGUUGGUUGGUUCAUUUGUUUUGCAGAGACAGUGGGACUGGGACUGCUGAAUCUUUCUGAACACUACCCACCACCUUCUGGAAGGAUCAAUCCUGCUUAGGAGCAUUACGAGCUGCUUUAUAUUGUGGGGAGUCAUUCUGGCCCUUCUGGGAGAGCAAAGCUCUGAGAUUCUUUAGGAGCAUUGACUCUCAUUUAAGGCUUUCUAAGCCUUUCAGUCCUCCUGAGCAAGCAAGGCACCUCUUCUCUACAUACCCUGCCACAGCAGCUUGGAGCCCACGGAGUAAAUAGAUCUUAUUAGAGGAGGAGACAGUUCUUGGGAAUGAUAAAACAAAGAGCAAAGCAAGAAUUGCCGGGCCGUCUGGGUGCCUCAAUGGCUGAGGAAAAGCUGAUGCCCAGAUAUAACUGCAACGUCAGUGAAGUUACCAUUGUGAACCUGCAGCCCAAGAAGAAUCCCAUCCUCAUCCUGCCAAAAGAGAAGCCAGGAAGUGAACAUAGAAACUCUGGUUUCCAUCCUCCUUCUCCCAGGAUGUCAGAAAAGAGGAUAGCCCAGGGAGAGAAAAAUCUGUGGCCUGAAAAGGUAAGAAAAGAGGGGCCUUUGUCUCCAGGCUUGCAUCGUGCGAAUGAGUCGAGUAGCACAGAGAACAUUGCCCUGAAAAGGCCAGUGAAGUUGGCUCCCCUGGAGAUCCCUGUGGAAGUGAAAGAAGCCCAGCUCCAAAAGAUUAUGAGCAUCCAGAGAGAAGCCCAAAUGGCUGCUCAGAAGCUGACAGCUAUCAACUCCAUCAGCAAUGAACCCCAUGUGAAAAGAGUGAAGAAUCUCUCCCAGGGGGAGCUGGAAAACCUUCAUAAGAUAAGGCUGAAUGAGAAAGCUGCAAUGGAGAAUAAAGAUAAUCCCCUUUCUCCUAAAAGCAGCAGGCCCCUGGGAGAAAUUCAAGUUAUUUUGCCUCCAGAGACAAGCUCAAAGUUGACUAAGCAACCAGGUGUUGGAGAGGCUCCUAAGACACUUCAUAAGCUGUUAAUCCCCACUCUCCAAGUGGACAUGCAUGAAGAGUCUAACAGCCCUGACAGCAUCCCUGAUCCUCACCAGAACACUUCUAGACGCCGAUUCAGGGUAAAGCACGUGAAAGAGCAGCAAGAAGACCACGGGAAAGCCACACCCUUAAAGGUCAUGGAUCCAAGUGUGGGAGAAGGCAAGAAGAAAUCUGCAGGUCAACGAACACAAAAAACCCUGAGCGAUGCAAGCAAGCUCAUUGAGAAUGUAGCCAAAAAGCAGAAGGAGAGAGGAGCACAGCAAGGGGAAACAGAUGAAGCUUCUUUUGUAAGGAAACAGUCUACUCGAAGGAUGGCCUUGGGAGACAUCAUCCAGGUAGAUGAAGACUGAAUAUCAUGAUAUUGGUCAUGCACGGGAGAUUUAGACACAACAGCUACCCAGUAAAGUGCUUUAGACUGACUGCUUAGAAGUCUUCAGAAGAGUAUCUAGAAGCAUUAGUAGACCACAAAGUGAAAAGAUUAGCGUUGUUGAACAUCUUCAUACUUUCUGAGAUGCACAGAAGUGUCAAAUAUCCUCCUACUCUGUUCAGUACUAGAAAUGCCCUGGCUGAAGUCCUGAGCCUCAUGUGGAGUACAACAUUUCAAGACAGAUGUGGACUAUGCAGGGAAAAUCUAGUUGUGUCAUGGGUGGAAGGACCCAGAGAAAAGCAGGAUCCUGGAAAAUCUUGUAUUUGGUGCAAGACUGAAAGAAAUAACUUUAUUUGCUUUUGAGAAUAGAGCCCUGCCCUUUUCAUCUGUGGCUGAAAAGAAAGGAAAGACUUUGAAGAAAGUCUUCAAAGACGUUGAAGAAAGACUGAAAAUGUUCUUCAUAUCCACUUUGAGCAGGACAAAAAGUAAUUUGCUUAAAAUUUAGCAAGAAACGUUUAAGGUAGAAAAGGAGAAAUAAUUUUAAAGACAAUAAACACCAAACAAUGCUGUUUACA
This 2569-nucleotide long non-coding RNA is filed under the name Anas platyrhynchos platyrhynchos (common mallard). RNAcentral's name for it is "lncRNA (ENSAPLG00000019445.1)". Lineage: Eukaryota; Metazoa; Chordata; Aves; Anseriformes; Anatidae. The record is from RNAcentral.